GAUGAACGCCGGCGGUGUGCCUAAUACAUGCAAGUCGAGCGCACUGGCCCAACAGAAAUGACGUGCUUGCACUGAUUUGACGUUGGAUUCCCAGUGAGCGGCGGACGGGUGAGUAACACGUGGGCAACCUGCCCCAAAGCGGGGGAUAACAUUUGGAAACAGGUGCUAAUACCGCAUAACUUGGAAAACCACAUGGUUUUCCAAUAAAAGAUGGUUUCGGCUAUCACUUUGGGAUGGGCCCGCGGCGCAUUAGCUAGUUGGUAAGGUAACGGCUUACCAAGGCAAUGAUGCAUAGCCGAGUUGAGAGACUGAUCGGCCACAAUGGAACUGAGACACGGUCCAUACUCCUACGGGAGGCAGCAGUAGGGAAUCUUCCACAAUGGGCGCAAGCUUGAUGGAGCAACACCGCGUGAGUGAAGAAGGGUUUCGGCUCGUAAAACUCUGUUGUUGGAGAAGAACGUGCGUAAGAGUAACUGUUUACGCAGGACGUAUC
Molecule: ribosomal RNA, 493 nt
Filed under: Limosilactobacillus oris
Lineage: Bacteria; Bacillati; Bacillota; Bacilli; Lactobacillales; Lactobacillaceae
Description: bacterial SSU rRNA
Rfam family: Bacterial small subunit ribosomal RNA
Source: RNAcentral